This 2900-nucleotide ribosomal RNA is filed under the name Streptococcus pneumoniae. Its description in RNAcentral is "23S ribosomal RNA". It matches the Rfam family "Bacterial large subunit ribosomal RNA". Lineage: Bacteria; Bacillati; Bacillota; Bacilli; Lactobacillales; Streptococcaceae. The record is from RNAcentral.
UUAAGUUAAUAAGGGCGCACGGUGGAUGCCUUGGCACUAGGAGCCGACGAAGGACGUGACAAACGACGAUAUGCCUUGGGUAGCUGUAAGUAAGCGAUGAUCCAGGGAUUUCCGAAUGGGGGAACCCAACAGGUAAUACCUGUUACCUACAUCUGUUAAGGAUGUGAGGAGGAAGACGCAGUGAACUGAAACAUCUAAGUAGCUGCAGGAAGAGAAAGCAAAAGCGAUUGCCUUAGUAGCGGCGAGCGAAACGGCAGAAGGGCAAACCGAAGAGUUUACUCUUCGGGGUUGUAGGACUGCAAUGUGGACUCAAAGAUUAUAGAAGAAUGAUUUGGGAAGAUCAGCCAAAGAGAGUAAUAGCCUCGUAUUUAAAAUAGUCUUUGUACUUAGCAGUAUCCUGAGUACGGCGGGACACGUGAAAUCCCGUCGGAAUCUGGGAGGACCAUCUCCCAACCCUAAAUACUCCCUAGUGACCGAUAGUGAACCAGUACCGUGAGGGAAAGGUGAAAAGCACCCCGGGAGGGGAGUGAAAUAGAACCUGAAACCGUGUGCCUACAACAAGUUCGAGCCCGUUAAUGGGUGAGAGCNUGCCUUUUGUAGAAUGAACCGGCGAGUUACGUUAUGAUGCGAGGUUAAGUUGAAGAGACGGAGCCGUAGGGAAACCGAGUCUGAAUAGGGCGCCUUAGUAUCAUGACGUAGACCCGAAACCAUGUGACCUACCCAUGAGCAGGUUGAAGGUGCGGUAAGACGCACUGGAGGACCGAACCAGGGCACGUUGAAAAGUGCUUGGAUGACUUGUGGGUAGCGGAGAAAUUCCAAACGAACUUGGAGAUAGCUGGUUCUCUCCGAAAUAGCUUUAGGGCUAGCGUCGACAUUAGAGAUUCUUGGAGGUAGAGCACUGUUUGGGUGAGGGGUCCAUCCCGGAUUACCAAUCUCAGAUAAACUCCGAAUGCCAAUGAAUUAUGGUCGGCAGUCAGACUGCGAGUGCUAAGAUCCGUAGUCGAAAGGGAAACAGCCCAGACCACCAGCUAAGGUCCCAAAAUAAUUGUUAAGUGGAAAAGGAUGUGGGGUUGCACAGACAACUAGGAUGUUAGCUUAGAAGCAGCUAUUCAUUCAAAGAGUGCGUAAUAGCUCACUAGUCGAGUGACCCUGCGCCGAAAAUGUACCGGGGCUAAAACAAUUUACCGAAGCUGUGGAUACCUUUAUAGGUAUGGUAGGAGAGCGUUCUAUGUGUGAUGAAGGUAUACCGUGAGGAGUGCUGGAACGCAUAGAAGUGAGAAUGCCGGUAUGAGUAGCGAAAGACAGGUGAGAAUCCUGUCCACCGUAAGACUAAGGUUUCCAGGGGAAGGCUCGUCCGCCCUGGGUUAGUCGGGACCUAAGGAGAGACCGAAAGGUGUAUCCGAUGGACAACAGGUUGAUAUUCCUGUACUAGAGUAUGUAGUGAUGGAGGGACGCAGUAGGCUAACUAAAGCAGACGAUUGGAAGAGUCUGUCUAAGCAGUGAGGUGUGAAUUGAGUCAAAUGCUUAAUUCUAUAACAUUGAGCUGUGAUGGGGAGCGAAGUUUAGUAGCGAAGUUAGUGACGUCACACUGCCAAGAAAAGCUUCUAGCGUUUAAACAUACUCUACCCGUACCGCAAACCGACACAGGUAGUCGAGGCGAGUAGCCUCAGGUGAGCGAGAGAACUCUCGUUAAGGAACUCGGCAAAAUGACCCCGUAACUUCGGGAGAAGGGGUGCUGACUUAAAGUCAGCCGCAGUGAAUAGGCCCAAGCAACUGUUUAUCAAAAACACAGCUCUCUGCUAAAUCGUAAGAUGAUGUAUAGGGGGUGACGCCUGCCCGGUGCUGGAAGGUUAAGAGGAGUGCUUAGCGUAAGCGAAGGUAUGAAUUGAAGCCCCAGUAAACGGCGGCCGUAACUAUAACGGUCCUAAGGUAGCGAAAUUCCUUGUCGGGUAAGUUCCGACCCGCACGAAAGGCGUAAUGAUUUGGGCACUGUCUCAACGAGAGACUCGGUGAAAUUUUAGUACCUGUGAAGAUGCAGGUUACCCGCGACAGGACGGAAAGACCCCAUGGAGCUUUACUGCAGUUUGAUAUUGAGUGUCUGUACCACAUGUACAGGAUAGGUAGGAGUCUAAGAGAUCGGGACGCCAGUUUCGAAGGAGACGCUGUUGGGAUACUACCCUUGUGUUAUGGCCACUCUAACCCAGAUAGGUGAUCCCUAUCGGAGACAGUGUCUGACGGGCAGUUUGACUGGGGCGGUCGCCUCCUAAAAGGUAACGGAGGCGCCCAAAGGUUCCCUCAGAAUGGUUGGAAAUCAUUCGCAGAGUGUAAAGGUAUAAGGGAGCUUGACUGCGAGAGCUACAACUCGAGCAGGGACGAAAGUCGGGCUUAGUGAUCCGGUGGUUCCGUAUGGAAGGGCCAUCGCUCAACGGAUAAAAGCUACCCUGGGGAUAACAGGCUUAUCUCCCCCAAGAGUUCACAUCGACGGGGAGGUUUGGCACCUCGAUGUCGGCUCGUCGCAUCCUGGGGCUGUAGUCGGUCCCAAGGGUUGGGCUGUUCGCCCAUUAAAGCGGCACGCGAGCUGGGUUCAGAACGUCGUGAGACAGUUCGGUCCCUAUCCGUCGCGGGCGUAGGAAAUUUGAGAGGAUCUGCUCCUAGUACGAGAGGACCAGAGUGGACUUACCGCUGGUGUACCAGUUGUCUUGCCAAAGGCAUCGCUGGGUAGCUAUGUAGGGAAGGGAUAAACGCUGAAAGCAUCUAAGUGUGAAACCCACCUCAAGAUGAGAUUUCCCAUGAUUAUAUAUCAGUAAGAGCCCUGAGAGAUGAUCAGGUAGAUAGGUUAGAAGUGGAAGUGUGGCGACACAUGUAGCGGACUAAUACUAAUAGCUCGAGGACUUAUCCAA